Molecule: unclassified non-coding RNA, 214 nt
Filed under: uncultured Russula
Lineage: Eukaryota; Fungi; Basidiomycota; Agaricomycetes; Russulales; Russulaceae
Description: sequence contains ITS2
Source: RNAcentral
ACACAUCCUCAACCUUCUUUUGGUUUUCUUGACCGGAGGAAGGCUUGGACUUUGGAGGUCUUUCAUUGCUGGUAUCCUUUUGGAGCCAGCUCCUCCUAAAUGAAUUAGUGGGAUUCGCUUUGGUGAUCCUCGACGUGAUAAGCAUUAUUCUACGUCUCGGGUUUUCGAAGUGCCUGCUUCUAACCGUCUUUAAACAAAGACAAUGACCACAAAA